UUAAGCGACUAAGCGUACACGGUGGAUGCCCUGGCAGUCAGAGGCGAUGAAGGACGUGCUAAUCUGCGAAAAGCGUCGGUAAGGUGAUAUGAACCGUUAUAACCGGCGAUGUCCGAAUGGGGAAACCCAGUGCAAUUCGUUGCACUAUCGUUAACUGAAUACAUAGGUUAACGAGGCGAACCGGGGGAACUGAAACAUCUAAGUACCCCGAGGAAAAGAAAUCAACCGAGAUUCCCCCAGUAGCGGCGAGCGAACGGGGAGCAGCCCAGAGUCUGAAUCAGCUUGUGUGUUAGUGGAACGGUCUGGAAAGUCCGACGGUACAGGGUGAUAGUCCCGUACACCAAAAUGCACAGGUUGUGAACUCGAAGAGUAGGGCGGGACACGUGGUAUCCUGUCUGAAUAUGGGGGGACCAUCCUCCAAGGCUAAAUACUCCUGACUGACCGAUAGUGAACCAGUACCGUGAGGGAAAGGCGAAAAGAACCCCGGCGAGGGGAGUGAAAAAGAACCUGAAACCGUGUACGUACAAGCAGUGGGAGCACCUUCGGGUGUGACUGCGUACCUUUUGUAUAAUGGGUCAGCGACUUAUAUUCUGUAGCAAGGUUAACCGUAUAGGGGAGCCGCAGGGAAACCGAGUCUUAACUGGGCGUUAAGUUGCAGGGUAUAGACCCGAAACCCGGUGAUCUAGCCAUGGGCAGGUUGAAGGUUGGGUAACACUAACUGGAGGACCGAACCGACUAAUGUUGAAAAAUUAGCGGAUGACUUGUGGCUGGGGGUGAAAGGCCAAUCAAACCGGGAGAUAGCUGGUUCUCCCCGAAAGCUAUUUAGGUAGCGCCUCGUGAAUUCAUCUUCGGGGGUAGAGCACUGUUUCGGCUAGGGGGUCAUCCCGACUUACCAACCCGAUGCAAACUACGAAUACCGAAGAAUGUUAUCACGGGAGACACACGGCGGGUGCUAACGUCCGUCGUGAAGAGGGAAACAACCCAGACCGCCAGCUAAGGUCCCAAAGUCAUGGUUAAGUGGGAAACGAUGUGGGAAGGCACAGACAGCCAGGAUGUUGGCUUAGAAGCAGCCAUCAUUUAAAGAAAGCGUAAUAGCUCACUGGUCGAGUCGGCCUGCGCGGAAGAUGUAACGGGGCUAAACCAUGCACCGAAGCUGCGGCAGCGACACUAUGUGUUGUUGGGUAGGGGAGCGUUCUGUAAGCCUGCGAAGGUGACCUGUGAGGGUUGCUGGAGGUAUCAGAAGUGCGAAUGCUGACAUAAGUAACGAUAAAGCGGGUGAAAAGCCCGCUCGCCGGAAGACCAAGGGUUCCUGUCCAACGUUAAUCGGGGCAGGGUGAGUCGACCCCUAAGGCGAGGCCGAAAGGCGUAGUCGAUGGGAAACAGGUUAAUAUUCCUGUACUUGGUGUUACUGCGAAGGGGGGACGGAGAAGGCUAUGUUAGCCGGGCGACGGUUGUCCCGGUUUAAGCAUGUAGGCUGGUUGUCCAGGCAAAUCCGGAUAAUCAAGGCUGAGGUGUGAUGACGAGGCACUACGGUGCUGAAGUAACAAAUGCCCUGCUUCCAGGAAAAGCCUCUAAGCAUCAGGUAACAUUAAAUCGUACCCCAAACCGACACAGGUGGUCAGGUAGAGAAUACCAAGGCGCUUGAGAGAACUCGGGUGAAGGAACUAGGCAAAAUGGUGCCGUAACUUCGGGAGAAGGCACGCUGGUGUGUAGGUGAAGCCCCUGCGGGUGGAGCUGAGACCAGUCGAAGAUACCAGCUGGCUGCAACUGUUUAUUAAAAACACAGCACUGUGCAAACACGAAAGUGGACGUAUACGGUGUGACGCCUGCCCGGUGCCGGAAGGUUAAUUGAUGGGGUUAUCCGUAAGGAGAAGCUCUUGAUCGAAGCCCCGGUAAACGGCGGCCGUAACUAUAACGGUCCUAAGGUAGCGAAAUUCCUUGUCGGGUAAGUUCCGACCUGCACGAAUGGCGUAAUGAUGGCCAGGCUGUCUCCACCCGAGACUCAGUGAAAUUGAACUCGCUGUGAAGAUGCAGUGUACCCGCGGCAAGACGGAAAGACCCCGUGAACCUUUACUAUAGCUUGACACUGAACAUUGAGCCUUGAUGUGUAGGAUAGGUGGGAGGCUUUGAAGCGUGGACGCCAGUCUGCGUGGAGCCAACCUUGAAAUACCACCCUUUAAUGUUUGAUGUUCUAACGUUGGCCCCUGACCGGGGUUGCGGACAGUGUCUGGUGGGUAGUUUGACUGGGGCGGUCUCCUCCCAAAGCGUAACGGAGGAGCACGAAGGUUAGCUAAUCCUGGUCGGACAUCAGGAGGUUAGUGCAAUGGCAUAAGCUAGCUUGACUGCGAGCGUGACGGCGCGAGCAGGUGCGAAAGCAGGUCAUAGUGAUCCGGUGGUUCUGAAUGGAAGGGCCAUCGCUCAACGGAUAAAAGGUACUCCGGGGAUAACAGGCUGAUACCGCCCAAGAGUUCAUAUCGACGGCGGUGUUUGGCACCUCGAUGUCGGCUCAUCACAUCCUGGGGCUGAAGUAGGUCCCAAGGGUAUGGCUGUUCGCCAUUUAAAGUGGUACGCGAGCUGGGUUUAGAACGUCGUGAGACAGUUCGGUCCCUAUCUGCCGUGGGCGCUGGAGAAUUGAGGGGGGCUGCUCCUAGUACGAGAGGACCGGAGUGGACGCAUCACUGGUGUUCGGGUUGUCAUGCCAAUGGCACUGCCCGGUAGCUAAAUGCGGAAGAGAUAAGUGCUGAAAGCAUCUAAGCACGAAACUUGCCCCGAGAUGAGUUCUCCCUGAGACUUUAAGUCUCCUGAAGGAACGUUGAAGACGACGACGUUGAUAGGCCGGGUGUGUAAGCGCAGCGAUGCGUUGAGCUAACCGGUACUAAUGAACCGUGAGGCUUAACCU
RNAcentral lists this ribosomal RNA (2899 nucleotides) under Klebsiella pneumoniae. RNAcentral describes it as "bacterial LSU rRNA". It matches the Rfam family "Bacterial large subunit ribosomal RNA". Lineage: Bacteria; Pseudomonadati; Pseudomonadota; Gammaproteobacteria; Enterobacterales; Enterobacteriaceae. The record is from RNAcentral.